Molecule: ribosomal RNA, 253 nt
Filed under: uncultured bacterium
Lineage: Bacteria
Description: partial 16S ribosomal RNA
Rfam family: Bacterial small subunit ribosomal RNA
Source: RNAcentral
UACGGAGGGGGCAAGCGUUGUUCGGAAUUACUGGGCGUAAAGGGCUCGUAGGCGGCCAACUAAGUCCGACGUGAAAUCCCCAGGCUUAACCUGGGAACUGCGUCGGAUAAUGGAUGGCUUGAAUUCGGGAGAGGGAUGCAGAAUUCCAGGUGUAGCGGUGAAAUGCGUAGAUAUCGGGAGGAACACCGGUGGCGCAAGCGGCUGACUGGCCGAGACCUGACGCUGAGACGCGACGGCGUGGGGAGCAAACCGG